CCCCUCUCAGGGUUGCACCUGAAGAGUUUCCAGUACUCUACCAGUCUCAACUACCAGAGGGAGAGUCGAGCAGAGGCCUGACCAUCCCAUUCCAAUCCUAGCUUGGGCAGUGGCUAGCAAGUGGAAGGCAAUCUGCUACAAGU
Small nucleolar RNA from Tachyglossus aculeatus (Australian echidna), 143 nucleotides. The record is from RefSeq and is a predicted model, not a curated record. Lineage: Eukaryota; Metazoa; Chordata; Mammalia; Monotremata; Tachyglossidae.